GAGAGAGAGAGAGAGAGAGAGCAGGGAAUAGAGAUAGUUGGGGUGGUGUAGCCAAAACAAAAUGCUUUCUCGUGGGAACCAAGGACAUUCCUGCAGAUGCUCGGAAGGAGGGGACUGGAGUCACUUAGCAACUAGGCAGCAUCCUGAUUGGA
Non-coding RNA from Pseudonaja textilis, 152 nucleotides. The record is from RefSeq and is a predicted model, not a curated record. NCBI's taxonomy places the organism in Eukaryota, Metazoa, Chordata, Lepidosauria, Squamata, Elapidae.